RNAcentral lists this long non-coding RNA (2780 nucleotides) under Homo sapiens (human). Its description in RNAcentral is "HSALNT0039068". Lineage: Eukaryota; Metazoa; Chordata; Mammalia; Primates; Hominidae. The record is from RNAcentral.
GAAGCAUCAGACACUGGGGGGCGCUUCUUGAACAGGCACUGGGCUAGACAGCCCAGACCUCGCGGAAACAAAGCGGGAAGGGGCCGCUCCUGGGGAGUUUUUCCCAGCUUCCCUGGGCCGGUGAGGGGUCCUGGCGUCCUGAACUGGAGAUGCUCCUUAGAGGGCACUGCUUCAGCCACCCCUGCCUUAGCAUACAUACGGGUCCCACAGGGGUCCUUCGACACCAGCUCAUCGUCUGGGUUCCACCAUCCACCCACGCACUCAUUUGGCAGCUAUCAACGGAGUAUUCACAGUACGCUGCUCACAGUUCUAACCGCGGAGGAUAGAGUUGAGGCCCACACGACAGCCCCUGCUCUCACAGAACUGAUGUCUCUAGAAGAGUCUUCCCUCAGUGAGAACGUUCUGAUUUCUAGAACAUUCUUUCUUCUGAUGAGUGAACAGCCUCACCGGAACUUCCCCAUCCUCCUGGCUUGGUUCCUGAAGUGGCCCAAGGCUGCCUUCUCCCUCCCGUGGGUGAACAGGGUCACUGCUUCCUCUCUUGUCCAGGCCCCCUGGCCUGACCCUGAGUCCCGGGCGUAACGGCGUUGUUGAACCACCACAACCCCAGGCGGCGCCUUCCUCUUGGCCCAGGGGCUCUCUUGGGGACAGUGUGCAGUACUCCCCAAGGGGGCUUUGCUGUGCAAAAGCAGCCCCUGCCGAUGCUGCGGCUCCCGUGGAUGGAGCACUGCCGUGGGAACAGAGUUGGAACUCAUCCAAAAGAAUAAAAGACAACUGUGUUGGAAGAUUGCCAAGGUUUGUAGCUGUGCCACCGCAGACUUCAGAGAUGAACACUGCCUUGGAGACGAGGAGGAUUCAAGUUGCAGAAGCAUUUAGAAACCUCAAACUUGAGACACGGUGGGAAAUCAGGAAGACAUGAGGCUUUGCUCAACACUGGAGAACACCAGUUCUUUUCAGUUUGUAUGCAUCUUUAUCAGGGUCUAUGCGAUUCUGAGGCAAGAGGCAUGAAACAACUCUGAGGAAGCAGGUCGGAGAGCAGCUGACCUGGUGAUCAAGGAGGGGCAGCCUGCUAAAAGCAGGGGCAGCAAGACGACAUCUCCAGCUGAGAGACACAUGUACCACUUAGAGAUGAGAAAGAUGCACCAGGGUGAGGAUUUCCACUGUGAGCAUGUUCUUCCAUGUCUAAAUAUAUCCCACAUCUGCACAGGCCCUGGAGACUCUCUCCACAUGUCUUAGCUACCAUCUUUAUAACACUUCCUAUUGAGCAUAUUAUGAGAGAUUCUUGAUAUGAAGUUGAAAAAUCAUGUUGAUGAUACUUUACAAAAAAUAAAUGAGGUUGGUUCGUCCCAUAAAACUAAUAUAAUUUUUCCCCUGGUACAAAAGCAGUAAGUCUGAAGGGGUAGUUUGGAGGAUCAUGAGAUUCAAGUUACGAAAUAUUUACCAAAUUUGGUUGGCUCCAGGGAAGCAUCACAGUUUUUAAACUGACAAUAAUGCACCAAGAGGUGCGCAACAGAAAGCCUGAUCUGGCGGUGGAGUUUAGGAUGGGUUGCAAGUUGGGCUAACCCAGGAGAGGACAGUAAGCCCUGGUAGGGGCUAUGAAAAGCCCAGGUGACCCAGGAUUUGCACAGUCCUUCUUGAUACAUGUUUUGGGAAACAGUUUCAGUAGAGUAGUGUAUAAUAGGGAGAAUAUGAGAUGAAAAAGUUCUGAAGAAUGAGUGUGAUGUUGGAGGUGUUAUGUGCUAUAAGAUGCUCUUGGAGAUAGACUGGAAAAGUUUGGAAUUUAAGAUAGGUGGAGAGGAGAGAACCAGACUUAGCAAUACCACAAUGAGUUGGGAAAGGAUGAGAAGGUGGAAGAUGGUGUAGAAUGAGGAAAAUGGUGGGAAGGUUAAUUUUAUGUGACAACUUGACUGGGCUAAGGGAUACCUAGGUAGCUGGUUAAACAUUAUUUCUGCGUAUGUGUCUCUGAGACUGUUUCUGGAAGAGAUUAGCAUUUGAAUCAGUAAAUUUAGUAAAGAAUAUCUACCCUUGGGCCGGGCGCGGUGGCUCACGCCUGUAAUCUCAGCCCUUUGGGAGGCCGAGGCAGGCGGAUCACGAGGUCAGGAGAUCGAGACCAUCCUGGCUAACACGGUGAAACCCCGUCUCUACUAAAAAUACAAAAAAUUAGCCGGGCGUGGUCACCGGCGCCUGUAGUCCCAGCUACUCAGGAGGCUGAGGCAGGAGAAUGGCGUGAACCCGGGAGGUGGAGCUUGCAGUGAGCCAAGAUCACGCCACUGCACUCCAGUCUGGGGAACAGAGCAAGACCCCGUCUCAAAAAAAAAAAUAAUAAAAAAAAAAAGGAAAAGAAAAAAAGAAAAGAAUAUCUAUCCUUACCAGCAAGGGUAGGCAUCAUCUAAUUCAUUGAGGCCCAGAUAGAAAACAAAAAGGUGGAGGAAGUCCAAAUUCUCUCUCUCUUCUUGAGCUGGGACAUCCAUUUUCUACCCUCGGACGUUGGAGCUCCUUGUUCUUGGGCCCUCAGACUCUGGGACCUACACCAGCAGGCCCUCCCCUUCACUCUUCUGAGGCUUUUGGCCUCAGAAUGGGAGUUAAAUCACUGGCUCCCCAGGCUCUCAGGCUUUUGGACUUGGACCAGACUAUACCAUGGGCUUUCCUGGUUCUCCAGCUUGCAGAGAGCAUAUUUUAGGACUUAAACUUUCAGAGUUGUCCUAAGGAUUAAAUAAGAUAAUUUACGGAAAAAAGCGCUUGGUAAACUUUAGCUUGAAAAGUGAUUAUUAUUUGACUUAAAG